GCCAACAGCCAUAUCAAUCUGCAACUCACAACUGGCAACCCACUGAAGCUAAGCAGGUGUGAGCCUGGUCAGUACCUGGAUGGGAGACCUCCUGGGAAAAACUAAGGUUGCUGCUGGAA
Molecule: ribosomal RNA, 119 nt
Organism: Lepisosteus oculatus (spotted gar)
Lineage: Eukaryota; Metazoa; Chordata; Actinopteri; Semionotiformes; Lepisosteidae
Source: Ensembl